CGCGAAGAACCUUACCUGGUCUUGACAUCCACAGAACUUUCCAGAGAUGGAUUGGUGCCUUCGGGAACUGUGAGACAGGUGCUGCAUGGCUGUCGUCAGCUCGUGUUGUGAGAUGUUGGGUUAAGUCCCGCAACGAGCGCAACCCUUAUCCUUUGUUGCCAGCGGUCCGGCCGGGAACUCAAAGGAGACUGCCAGUGAUAAACUGGAGGAAGGUGGGGAUGACGUCAAGUCAUCAUGGCCCUUACGACCAGGGCUACACACGUGCUACAAUGGCGCAUACAAAGAGAAGCGACCUCGCGAGAGCAAGCGGACCUCAUAAAGUGCGUCGUAGUCCGGAUUGGAGUCUGCAACUCGACUCCAUGAAGUCGGAAUCGCUAGUAAUCGUGGAUCAGAAUGCCACGGUGAAUACGUUCCCGGGUCUUGUACACACC
Molecule: ribosomal RNA, 431 nt
Filed under: uncultured bacterium
Lineage: Bacteria
Description: bacterial SSU rRNA
Rfam family: Bacterial small subunit ribosomal RNA
Source: RNAcentral